AGUCUUAUAGUUUAAAUAAAAUAUAAAAUUGCAAAUUUUAAGAUAUAAUUUAUUAAGGCUU
RNAcentral lists this transfer RNA (61 nucleotides) under Corythoxestis sunosei. Its description in RNAcentral is "tRNA-Cys". Lineage: Eukaryota; Metazoa; Arthropoda; Insecta; Lepidoptera; Gracillariidae. The record is from RNAcentral.